This 254-nucleotide ribosomal RNA is filed under the name uncultured bacterium. RNAcentral describes it as "partial 16S ribosomal RNA". It matches the Rfam family "Bacterial small subunit ribosomal RNA", at positions 524 to 776 of the family's 1533-position model. The record is from RNAcentral.
GACGAACCGUGCGAACGUUAUUCGGAAUCACUGGGCUUAAAGCGCGUGUAGGCGGGGCGGCACGUCGGUCGCUGAAAGCCCCCGGCUCAACCGGGGAACGGGCGCCGAUACGACCGCCCUCGAGGGACGUAGGGGGACCUGGAACUUCUGGUGGAGCGGUGAAAUGCGUUGAGAUCGGAAGGAACGCCCGUGGCGAAAGCGAGGUCCUGGACGUCUGCUGACGCUGAGACGCGAAAGCCAGGGGAGCGAACGGG